GUAGGUGAACCUGCGGAAGGAUCAUUACAGAGUUCAUGCCCUUCGGGGUAGACCUCCCACCCUUUGUAUACCUUGCCUUUGUUGCUUUGGCGGGCCGCCUUUUGGCCACCGGCUUCGGCUGGUGCGCGCCCGCCAGAGAACCCCAAACCCUGUCUUACAGUGUCGUCCGAGUACUAUAUAAUAGUUAAAACUUUCAACAACGGAUCUCUUGGUUCUG
Molecule: unclassified non-coding RNA, 217 nt
Filed under: rhizosphere metagenome
Description: partial ribosomal RNA internal transcribed spacer region
Source: RNAcentral